ACAUGCAAGUCGAGGGGAAACGACAUCGAAAGCUUGCUUUUGAUGGGCGGCGACCGGCGGAAGGGUGCGUAACGCGUGAGCGACAUGCCCGUUGCCCGGGGACAACCGGUGGAAACGCCGACUAAUCCCCGAUGGGACGGAGGCCCUCAUGGGUCUCUGUUGAAAGUUACGGCGGCGACGGAUUGGCUCGCGUCCGAUUAGCUAGUUGGCGGGGUAACGGCCCACCAAGGCUACGAUCGGUAGGGGUUCUGAGAGGAAGGUCCCCACAAUGGAACUGAGACACGGUCCAUACUCC
This 295-nucleotide ribosomal RNA is filed under the name uncultured bacterium. Its description in RNAcentral is "partial 16S ribosomal RNA". It matches the Rfam family "Bacterial small subunit ribosomal RNA", at positions 53 to 339 of the family's 1533-position model. The record is from RNAcentral.